RNAcentral lists this ribosomal RNA (813 nucleotides) under Triticum aestivum (bread wheat). RNAcentral's name for it is "partial small subunit ribosomal RNA". The record is from RNAcentral. Lineage: Eukaryota; Viridiplantae; Streptophyta; Magnoliopsida; Poales; Poaceae.
AUGGCCUCCUUCGUCUCCGCCUCCUCCACCACCACAGCACUCCUCUGCUCCGCCCCUCCCGCCUCCCGCGGCGGGCUCGUGGGAGCGUGGGCGGCCCCGGCCCGGCGCGCGCUCGCGGCUCCACUGCGCGCGGCAGCGGCGCAGGGGUCAGCCAACUCCGCGCCGGUCAUGAUGGAGAGCAAGGUCAAGAAGAGGAACAAGAAGGGCGCCGGCGCCGGGGGCCUCCCCGCCGCCAUCGACCUCGAGAUCCGGGAGGCCGAGCAGUACCUCGCCACCGACGGACAGGAACCUACUCCAGAAGACUUUCCCUUUGAAAUGGUCGAUGAAGAUGGGAUGAGCGUGGUUAUUCUGAAAAGGGACUACAAGGAUGAGAAGAUUGAGGUCAUUGUCAGCAUGCCUAAUAUGGAAGGGGAUCCUGAGUUUGAUGAAGAUGACGAGGCCGAUGAGGAGGCGGCUGCCAAGGACGAAGACGAUGAAGAUGAGGGCGGCGAAGAUAGCAGCCUUGCUAUGAAGGUGAUAGUCUCCAAGGGAUCUGGCCCGAACCUCGAGUUCACCUGCACAGCCUUCCGCGAGGAGAUCACCAUUGACGACAUGAUGAUAGCAGAGAAAACAGAGCCUGAUGCAGAGAAGUUCCCCUUUGAAGGCCCUGAAUUCACCGAGCUUCCUCCAAACGUGCAGAAGGGCCUGUUCAAGUUCCUGGAGGUGCGAGGUGUGACGCUGACGACAACCAACUUCAUGCACGACUACAUGAUCACCAAGCAGACCAAGGAGUACGUCCGGUGGAUGACCAAGCUCAAGGGUCUGGUCCAGUAG